Non-coding RNA from Pelobates cultripes (western spadefoot toad), 338 nucleotides. Lineage: Eukaryota; Metazoa; Chordata; Amphibia; Anura; Pelobatidae. The record is from the annotation of a GenBank genome assembly.
GUCACAUACACAGCAUCAGGCAGAAACACACAGGCAAACACACACAAUUACAGCAAGCCACACAUACACACACAGUCAGACAGCCACACUCACUCUGACAAUCACACAUAGUUACCUCUGUUCAUUGUGGAGGCAGUGCAGCUCCCGGAGACUAUUUGGUGUGGAAGCAGGGACUCCUUCCCCUGCAGCAGUUAUCCAGCACUUUUAGCUACGCCCCCGCCGCAAUUUUUUUAAAUCCCAGCCGGCCAUGUGUGAGUUGUCGGUUGCAGAAUGCCCCCUGUGCUUGCACAACCCUAAGGCCGGCCCUGAAAGUGUGUCUGUCAGUCAGUGUUGCAUUG